This 297-nucleotide long non-coding RNA is filed under the name Ananas comosus (pineapple). Its description in RNAcentral is "long non-coding RNA (ACOM_LNC021569)". Lineage: Eukaryota; Viridiplantae; Streptophyta; Magnoliopsida; Poales; Bromeliaceae. The record is from RNAcentral.
ACACACAUGUAUAUAGUUAAUAGAGGCGAGCCGCCGCCGCCGCCGCAUCCCCCACGUCUGCCGUCACCACCGCCGCAUAACCCACGUCCGUCGUCGCCGCCGCCGCGUCCACCAUGUCCACCGCUGCUGCUGCCACAUACCCUGUCGUCGCCACCUAAGCCGCUGUCAGCCACCACCGCUGCCGCAUCCCCCGCCGUUUCCACUCGGGCCGCUAAGCCCAAGCCGACCGCCGCACGAGCCGCUCAACCCGCCGCCGCAGCUGUGUCCAUCGUCAACAACCCAAGCCUCCGUGUUUGC